Molecule: ribosomal RNA, 570 nt
Filed under: Candida tropicalis
Lineage: Eukaryota; Fungi; Ascomycota; Pichiomycetes; Serinales; Debaryomycetaceae
Description: eukaryotic LSU rRNA
Rfam family: Eukaryotic large subunit ribosomal RNA
Source: RNAcentral
AGAAACCAACAGGGAUUGCCUUAGUAGCGGCGAGUGAAGCGGCAAAAGCUCAAAUUUGAAAUCUGGCUCUUUCAGAGUCCGAGUUGUAAUUUGAAGAAGGUAUCUUUGGGUCUGGCUCUUGUCUAUGUUUCUUGGAACAGAACGUCACAGAGGGUGAGAAUCCCGUGCGAUGAGAUGAUCCAGGCCUAUGUAAAGUUCCUUCGAAGAGUCGAGUUGUUUGGGAAUGCAGCUCUAAGUGGGUGGUAAAUUCCAUCUAAAGCUAAAUAUUGGCGAGAGACCGAUAGCGAACAAGUACAGUGAUGGAAAGAUGAAAAGAACUUUGAAAAGAGAGUGAAAAAGUACGUGAAAUUGUUGAAAGGGAAGGGCUUGAGAUCAGACUUGGUAUUUUGUAUGUUACUUCUUCGGGGGUGGCCUCUACAGUUUAUCGGGCCAGCAUCAGUUUGGGCGGUAGGAGAAUUGCGUUGGAAUGUGGCACGGCUUCGGUUGUGUGUUAUAGCCUUCGUCGAUACUGCCAGCCUAGACUGAGGACUGCGGUUUAUACCUAGGAUGUUGGCAUAAUGAUCUAAAGUC